AUUUUGAGCAAAACGCAAAGAAUUUUACCUAACCGAAGCUAGUUCGAUGAAGUUCCUCCGGUGAUACCCAGAUAAGUCCUAUUUAUCUCUUCUGUAGGCUCUACAAAAAUUCUUCUUCUUCUUCUUUGCUUCUUGAACUUUACUGUUGUUGUUUGCUUUAGGGUUAGGAUUUAGCUCAAAUUAUCUCAGAGUUUUACUGGAAAAACUAUGAGUAAUCUUAAGGUCCUGAGCUUUGAGUGAGGUCUUAAAAAUGAAUUUG
RNAcentral lists this long non-coding RNA (259 nucleotides) under Lathyrus oleraceus (garden pea). RNAcentral's name for it is "Pisum sativum (pea) long non-coding RNA (PSAT_LNC022962)". Lineage: Eukaryota; Viridiplantae; Streptophyta; Magnoliopsida; Fabales; Fabaceae. The record is from RNAcentral.